GGAAGACAUAAUUCAACUCACUACUCCAGUCUUCCCUAACUCGGCUAUAUAUCAGACCCUCUUGGGGAUCUUAUAAAGGUUACAUGUUAUUAUAAUUUCUGUUCCAGAAUCCCAGUAGGUUGCUCGGUGCCUGGUUCUGACGCUAUCCCUCAGAGCCUGUGGAAGUUGCUGAUGCCAGGAUGCAGUUGCUCUCCUAAAGCAGAGUGGGAGAUCCUGAGGAAGGGAGCCUCCUGCUUGUGCGUCUGCGGUUUUGACUGGAAUGCCAGGCUUAACGUUGCUCAGAAGUUGCUUCUAUGAGGACGUCUCCCAGCAGCUGUCAGUGUUUCCAAUGAGUCAUCGCCAGCCCCUGCAAUGAGCCUCUCAGGCUGGUAAGUUUUGUUUCAGAACCGCUUCCUCAAGCUUCUUUUGCCUUUAAAAGCUUCCUCUUGCCCCAGCCUCCCAGGGAAUGCCUGUGGUCUGUCAUGGCUCACACAUCCUGGUUGAUAAUCCACUGCUGUUCUCCACGGAAUGCCUUCAUUUUGAGAGCUGCUCGCUGCCUGUUGUGGUUUCAGUUGACGGCCCACCGCUGUGUGCAGAGUUCACCAGCCGCUGUGGUGUGCAGUGCAGCAGCUGACCUGCCUGCCUUGUGGUUUUCUAAUCCCAUUGAGGGGACGUCUUAGGUGUUCUCACCAAGAAUGCACAGCAACAGUGCUGGGUGGGCCACAUCCUCCCUCACGUUUGGUGCCACCAGUUUUAUAGAUUUUGGCUACUGUGGGUGUGUGUGGUGGUUUUUGUUGGUGUUUACGACGCAUCUUCCUGGUGCUCGAGUCUGUCGAGCACUUUUUCUUGUGUUUAUUUGCCAUCAUUUGGCGAAGUGUUCAAAUCCUUUGACCGUUGUUUCACCAAGUUGUUUUAUUAUGAAAUUUUAGGGGUUACUUAUUCUGGAUCUCAGCACUUGGAUAAAUAUUUGAGAAUAUUUUUUGCAGUAAGUGACAUCGUUUUAUGUGGAUGAACAGAAGAUUUUAAUUUUGAUAAAGUCUAAUGGAUAUAUGUGAUGUUAGUGUAAUUUGAAUGCAUACAUAUGUAUAUUUAAUGCAUUCUUUUAUGAUGAUUGUGCACUUCAUAUGAAAUGCGGCAACCUUGCCUUGCCAUCCCGGAGGCCUCUGCUUCUCUGAUCUGUGGGUGUCACAGGCACUUCACUUACUCACACCUUAUGGCACGGUUUCUUUUGCUCUAAGCCUGCACGUGUGUUUUAAAGGUAAUUUCUUCCGUUAGAGAAGUCGCGUAGGCUCACCCUGCUAUUUGCCAUUUCUGGAGCUCUUUAUCUCCUUCUUCAUAUCUGCAUUUCCCUCUGGAAUCAUUUCCAUUCAGCCUGAAGAACUCUUCUGCCUGGGACUCCACCUUCUUUUCUAGCAGCUGGGCUCAUUGGGAGCUCUGUCCUCUGGUGGCUCUGGCCAGGGGACGCUGGGUUUUCUCUUAGGGUUUCAGUUGGCCCGUGUGGUGCCAAUGUCAACGUGUCUGUAGGCCAGAGCCAGCAAUGAGCACCCCCUCGGUCUGGCCCUGAGCUCCAAGGCCCCACUCCCACGGGAUCUUGCUGCCAGGACCCCACUCUCUGCAUCUUGUCCAGAGUGUCGAGGAGGGCAGGGUCCAGCGGGAUCUCUCGGCCCUCCCAGGGCUGAGUCUGUGCUCUGACCUUUCCUGGGAGGCACUCAGGGCCAACAGAGCAACAAGGGGCCUUUCCCUGUGGCUCCCUCCCCUCUGGAGAAAAUGGGUCAGACCUGGGUUUCUCCAUAGUCACUGUCCCUAAAAUGAAGCCGGGCUGCCAGAGGCGGUUGCAUCUCCCGGCACCAAGACCCCAGAGUCCCUGUGAGAAAGAGGACCAACGACGAUGGAAGCCUUUCUCUAAUGUGCGCACAGCCAGGCCGCUCCUCUGAAGGCGCUGAGCCGCCUCUAAUCACAGCGCCACACUGGCCACAGGUCGCUGGGUAUAGGAUGAACCCAGCUGUGAAUAGGAUGCAUUUCCUGGGAGGUUUCUGUGAAGUUACUGAACUGCCAAAAGGUAAGCAGUUUUAAUUGAUUUGUGAGUCUUCAAUUAAGCACAGCAGAAUGCUAAUUAAAUAUUCUCUGUUCUUUAAAUAGAGAAUGCUUUAAAUAAUUCAGCACAAUCUUUGCAUAAAUCACACCAUUCAGCUGAGGUGCCUGUCAGCAGUCAAGUGAUUGAGAGCACAAACUGUCCCAAAGACACAGCCCCCUUCCCCCUGGAGACGCGCACAGCCUGCAGAAGAGAUGUCACCUGAUGCAGCGUUGUGGUUUAAAAACUCAUUAUGGGAAGCAUGAGGCUGGACCCAGGGGACCCUGGAGGUGAUGCAGGGGCUUUGGCAGCCUGGAAGCUGUUGGAGGAGGGGCCCUUGGUGGAAGUGGGGACAGUUUGAGCCUCCGGCCUCCAAUUCCCUCCCGCUGGCUUCUGGGCCGCACCUCCAGGAAUCCAGCUAGACCCGCAGGGCUCUGACUCCAGACUUUAUUAAAUGUUUCCUCUAACGGUUCUGGCCAUUCUGCUGGGCCAUUAAAGGCUACCCCAGGGCCUCAGAUAUGAGCGUGGUGUCUGUAUGUGGUCCUUUCAUGGAGGGCAGGAAGCAUCAUAAUUACUUUUUUUUUUAACGGUUUUCAAUUUGUGUUGACAAAGAGCCUUAGUGAAUCUGUUGGAAGAAGAGUGACUUCAAAAUGAACCUGACUCCCUGUAUGUUAGGAGUCCAUAUUCUCUGAUACAGUUAACGUUUUCCUUCCAACCUCUUCACUGUUCAAGCAAAGUGGUAUUUUAGCUAUUCACUGUUUGACACUUUAAUAGGAGUUUUGAUGAGCAAUUUCAGGAUGUGGAAUUGCUACACUGCACCAGGUUCCUGCAGGAGCAGCAGCCUCAGCCUGUGGAUGGGACGUGAGAUCUUGGUGUUUCUCCUGGAGGAAACGCUGUGCUGCUGUGUUGAUGACGGGGCGUGUGUGGGGUUGAUGAUGGGUGAUGGAGUGUGGGGUUGGUGACAGGUGACGGAGUGUGGGGUUGACGACGGGUGAUGGAGUGUGGGGAUGAUGAUGGGUGAUGGAGUGUGGGGAUGAUGACGGGUGAUGGAGUGUGGGGAUGAUGAUGGGUGAUGGAGUGUGGGGAUGAUGAUGGGUGAUGGAGUGUGGGGAUGAUGACGGGUGAUGGAGUGUGGGGAUGAUGAUGGGUGAUGGAGUGUGGGGAUGGUGAUGGAGUGUGGGGAUGGUGAUGGAGUGUGGGGAUGAUGAUGGGUGAUGGAGUGUGGGGAUGAUGAUGGAGUGUGGGGAUGAUGACGGGUGAUGGAGUGUGGGGAUGAUGAUGGGUGAUGGAGUGUGGGGAUGGUGAUGGAGUGUGGGGAUGGUGAUGGAGUGUGGGGAUGAUGAUGGGUGAUGGAGUGUGGGGAUGAUGAUGGAGUGUGGGGAUGAUGACGGGUGAUGGAGUGUGGGGUUGACGACGGGGCGUGGGGUUGAUGAUGGAGUGUGGGGAUGAUGAUGGGUAUGGAGUGUGGGGAUGAUGAUGGGUAUGGAGUGUGGGGUUGAUGACGGGUGAUAGAGGAGUGUGGGGAUGUGAUGGGUGAUGGAGUGUGGGGAUGAUGAUGGAAUGUGGGAUUGAUGACGGAUGAUGGAGUGUGGGGAUGAUGAUGGGUGAUGGAGUGUGGGGAUGAUGAUGGAGUGUGGGGUUGAUGAUGGGUGAUGGAGUGUGGGGUUGAUGAUGGGUGAUGGAGUGUGGGGAUGAUGUUGGGUGAUGAAGUGCGGGGAUGAUGAUGGAGUGUGGUGAUGAUGACAGGUGACGGAGUCUGGGGUUGAUGACGGGGCGUGGGGUUGAUGAUGGAGUGUGGGGAUGAUGAUGGGUAUGGAGUGUGGGGAUGAUGAUGGAUAUGGAGUGUGGGGUUGAUGACGGGUGAUACAGUGUGGGGAUGUGAUGGGUGAUGGAGUGUGGGGAUGAUGAUGGGUAUGGAGUGUGGGAUUGAUGACGGGUGAUGGAGUGUGGGGAUGAUGAUGGGUAAUGAAGUGUGGGGAUGAUGAUGGAGUGUGGUGAUGAUGACAGGUGACGGAGUGUGGGGUUGAUGACGGGGCGUGGGGUUGAUGAUGGAGUGUGGGGAUGAUGACGGGUGACCGAGUGUGGGGUUGAUGACGGGGCGUGGGGUUGAUGAUGGGGUGUGGGGAUGAUGACGGGGCAUGGGGUUGAUGACGGGGCGUGGGGCUGUUGAUGGGGUUUGGGGUUGAUGACGGGGUGUGUGGUUGAUGACGGGGCAUGGGGUUUAUGAUGGGGUGUGGGAUUAAUGACGGAGUGUGGCGUUGAUGAUGAGGCGUGGGGUUUAUGACAGAGCGUGGGGUCAAUGACAGGGUGUGGGGUUGAUGACGGGGUGUGGGGUUGAUGACGGGGCAUGGGGUUUAUGACAGCUUGUGUCAGACGAAGCCACAUCAACUCAUUCUGAGCACCCCUUUCCUCAAAACAUAAGGAUGAGCAUGACCAAAAUCUCAAGACAUUUUUCCUAAGUCCUUAAGACGGAUGAACUUCUACAGGUAAGUAGGUAGAUUAAUAAACAGAGGUAAGGAAUGUUGGCAUGAAGAAGCUCCCUAGGCUGCUGUGUGGCUGAAGCUCUGACUGGUCAUGCUGGUUAAGGAUGCGUCUGAGCAAGAUCGGUCGCUGACAGGUAGGUGUGUAGAAAAUAACCUAUAUGUGGUGGUCCAUUUUCAGUUCUAAGUGCCUUCAUAUAGGUUUAAGCAGGCUAUGUGGAAAUAGAGAAAUAAAGAAGCAGAAAUGUACUGAGUCACCACCCUGCCCUCCUUCCUGCUUUCCCUUUCACCCAGCGGCCACGUGCCUAUCAGUAGGAGCCCCCUCAACUACCCUCUCCUCACCCCACCAAAGAAUUUAGUUUAGGCUAGCUUGCAACAUAAAUAAUUAUACCCUUUCUUAUCAGCUACGUGCAGCCACCAGGGCCAUAGUCAAAUGUUUGAAGAGUCCUGAGACAGUUGCAAUGCAUGGUGGGCUGCAAUAAAAUGCAGCAGAAAGAUCCUAAAGAACAGACUUGAAAUCUUAAUCCAACGACCAAUAGGUGAUGUCCAGGAAGAUCGUAACCCCAUUUACUCAGUCAAUGAGGAACUGGGGGAGGGACCUGCGCACUAGGGGAUAAAUUGCUUGUUGAAACUCUGCUGGGGGUGGCUGCAUGCCAGCCAGACACCCAGUCUUGCAAGACUGUCAUUGAAAAUCUCCGUUUUGCUGUUCUCCGGGUCUCUGCGUCCAGUCUUUGUGUUUGGACGGGUGAGUUUGUUUCUCACAGGUGCGACUCUGUCUCUAUUUGCAUCAGGUUCAGUUUCUUCCUGGUUGACCUUGUGGGUGUGAAUGUUGUCACAGACCUGCCGGGCCAUCUUUCUGCAAGAAGAUAAAGGAAGACCAGGAGUGCCUGCCGAACUCCUAUGGAGGAAGUCUAGGAGAGGAAGGGGACAGGGAGGAAGAUGGUGUCUGCAAACCAGGAAGCAGCCUUGCCAGACACAGGAUUGGCCACAACCUUGACCCCAGACUUCCAGCCUCCAGAACUGAAGGACUGAGUUCAUUUUCAGCGUGUCUGGCUUUUCCAUUUCUGUGGCCUGGGAAGGAAUUUCCCUGCACAGGCUCUCUUGCCUGCCACCAUGUAAGACCUGCCUCUGCUCCUCCUUCACCUUCCGCCAUGAUUGUGAGGCCACCCCAGCCAUGUGGAACUGUCAAGAGGCUGGGAGGUGCCCUCUGCCUUUCAAGAUCAGAGAGUAGCUGAUCCCCCUCCUGCCGUCAUUUAUGGACUGAAUAACCACAGAGAGUGUGAGGCCGGCGGAAACUUGGCAGUGCCUGUUUGUCAUUGUCAGUUUCAAAUACUUUUUAAUUUUGAAUAGUUGUAGAUUUUCAGAAGGGUUAUGAAGAUUGUGCAGGCAGUUUCUGCAAGCUGCUGCUAAUUUCCCUCAGCUUCCACGUCUUCGCUGCCAUGGUCCACCUGCAGCAGCCAAGAAAGCCGCGUUGCAUCGCCACGAGCUAAACUCCAGCCUUCGGAUUUCAGAGCUUCCAUCCAUGUCCUCUCUCUGCUGUGACCCCACCUGGGGUGCCACGUCGUGUCUGAUCCUCCUGUGUCCUCGGCUUCUCUGGUCUGUGACAUUUCUGUCUCUCCUUUGCCAUGACCCUGGCAGUGUGGAGGAGACUGUUGGGCACCCUGUGGAUGCCCCUCAGUCUGGGUUCAUCUGUCCUUUUCCUCAUGGUUAGCCUGAGGUGGUGGGCUUCCGCAAAUAAUACCAAGGAGGUGAAAUGUUCUUCCCCUCACGGCCUCUCAGGGGCAUAGAACAUCCUCUUGACUUCACAGGUGGCGUUAACCCGAUCGCUUGUGUGAAAAUAACGCAUCGGGAGGCACUAGGCUGAGGGCUUCAGUACCUCAGAAGCAAACCCAGUUCCUGCACACAGAAACCCCAUUCAGGGUAAGGGGUCCUGUCCUAGGAAAGAAAAUUCAAGUUUAAACAGAAACUGCCAGCUAACCUCAAAGCAGAGGCCGUGUGACUGCUGUUUCACUUCAAUCCAUCCUUUUUCUGUUCUUCCUUCCAAGAACACUGAUGAAGGUUUUCCUUGUGCUCCUUGGUAGAGCCCAAACUGCUGUAGUUCAGUGCUGCCCAGCUCAUGGAUUCCUGUCUCCUCAAAUAACUCUUUACACUUUCACGUGCCUACGUUUAUCUUCUAACACUUGGAUCAGGUGGCGUCCGCCAGGUGUCUUCGCUGUAAAGUCACUGUCUUCCCUUCCACCGCUCCACUCUUUGGGAUGAGUCACGAAGCCUGUGCUACCUUCAGGGGAGGGCUGGGGAAGAGUUAAACUCCAUCUCCUGGAGGGGCUGCUACAUAUGAUCAUAUGAUGUUAUUUGGAGUAAGAAAGAUUUGCCUCUUCUCCACAUUUACUUGUUUAUUCAAUUAUUUAUACCAGUAUGGGCUCAUGAUAUUUACUGUAUAUUUUUUAUUAUAAUUCAAUCAUCCAAUAUAUUAUUUCUUUUGUUGUUCAAAUUUUUCCAUCUUUGGCCAUUGGCAGCCCUUUCACGUUGGCAUCUGUGUCCAUUGGACAAUCCCCCAUCCUUUUGUUUUUUUGAAAAUUUCCUUACUUUUUGAUAUCAUGAGAUACUCCAGGCUCAUCUUGUCUUCUCUCUGAUCCACCCUAGAAUCAGCCGUGGUUCCCCUCAUUGGAGAAUGAUAUUUAGAAACAGAAACCUGGGUGCUGGGUGUGCUCAGUGGGACGAGGGUGUCACUGCCUCCAGCCCUGUCAGUGAAGAGAGCUGCGUAAUGUGCGUGCAGAUAAUACCCUAUGUGUGAACACAUACUUCAGAUUAUCUCUGGAUCUGUCCAUCCUUAUAUCGAUGCAAAGCUAAACAUGAGUUCACACUGAUGUCUCUGAUUCUCAUCUAGUACCACAGGGUUCAGUCUAAACUUCCUCUUAUUUACAAAUAACCUUCCCCUCCAACACAAGAAGCCUGCCUCCCAUGGUUUGCCAUCCGUUGACUUAUCUGUUCAAUCCCAGUGUAUGUGAAUUGUUAACUUGUACCCCUGUGGGAAAUUUACCAACAAAGGAAUGAUAUUAAUGUCCUUUUGUCUUUAGCUUUACAAUUUCCACUCAAAACAUCAUAUUCUGAAGUUACUCAGGUCAGCUUCCUGUUUCUUUAAGUUCGCCCUCAUUACUGUCCGCGCUUUGUGAUGUGCAGUCAUGUGUUACCACCCCAGUGCCAGAAAGAAGAGCUCCUCGUGUGUCCGCCGAUGGCCAAGCACUCCUCUCCCCAGCCCCUGGCAACUGCUAGUCCAAGCUUGUCCAACCCACAGCCCGUGGGCUGCAUGCGGCCCAGGAUGGCUUUGAAUGUGGCCCAACACAAAUUCGUAAACUUUCUUAACACCUUAUGAGAUUUAUACAUGGACUUUUUUUGCUCAAGAGCUAUUGUUAGUGUUAGUAUAUUUUAUGUGUGGCCCAAGGCACAAUUCUUCUUCCAGUGUGGCCCAGGGAAGCCAAAAGAUUGGACACCCCGGCCCUAGUCUGUUCAUUCCUAUAGUUUUAAUUUUUCCAAAGUAUCAUAUGAAUGGAAUCAUGUGAUAUGUAGCCCAUGAAUCAUGUAUAUGGGUUUUUCACUUAGUAGAGCACAUUUAAGAUUCAUCAUUGUUGCUAUGUGAAUCAAUAGCUGGUUCCUUUUAUCUCUCCGCAGCUCCUACUGCACUGAGAAGCACGUGUUCUCCAUUUCCCUGGGGGAGACCAUUGUAUUGGGCAGUUUGGAACAAAACACCAUGGACUGGGAGGCUUACACAACAGAAAUUUAUUUCUUGCUGUUCUAGAGGCUGGGAAGCUCAAGGUGCUGGCUGCAUAUUCAUUCUGAGGCCUCUUCUGAUGUGCAGGCAGCUGCCUUCUGACUUGUGCUCACAUUGGAGAGAGGGAGUCAGCUUUGGUGUCUCUUCUUGUAAGGACACUAACCCCAUUCACUAGGGCCCCACCCUCAUGACCUAAUCACCCCCAAAGGUCCUGUCUCCAGACAUAUCACAUGGGGCAGAGCUUCAAUGUACCAAUUCUGGGGGGUCACAAACCCUCCGUCCAUAGCAGACAUCUUGGUUGCUCCCAGUUUUUAGAGAUUAAGAAUAAAACAACUGUAAAUAUUUACAUGCAGGUUUUUGUGUGAACAAGUUUUCAUGCCAGCUGGGUAAAUAGCUAGGGCUGUGAUGGCCAGAUCCUGUGGUAAGAUUCUGUUCCACAUUCUAAGAAACUGCCCAACUGUCUUCCACAGUGGCUGUGCCAUUUUGCAGUUCUGACAGCAAUUCUGUAGCUCCACAACCUCAUCAGCACUGGGUGGUGGUGCUUGAAUUUUGCAUUUUAGCCAUUCUAAUUGGUGUGGGUAGUAGUUCUCAUUUGGGGUUCAAUUUGCUUUUUCCUUUUUUUUUUUUUUUUUUUGGCAGGCUGGACAUCUCCUAGAGGGCAAUAGAUUCUGGUUUUGUUUUUUUUUUUAGACAGAGUCUCAUGCUGUCACCCAGGCUGGAGUACAAUGGCAUGAUCUCUGCUCACUGCAACUUCUGCCUCCCAGGCUCAAGCAAUUCUCCUGCCUCAGCCUCCCAAAUAGCUGGGGUUACAGAUGCUCGCCACCAUGCCUGGCUAAUUUUUGUAUUUUUAGUAGGGAUGGAGUUUCACCAUGCCAGCCAGGCUGGUUUUGAGCUCCUGAACUCAAAUGAUCCACCCGCCUUAGCCUCCCAAAGUGCUGGGAUUACAGGCGUGAGCCACCGCACCUGGCUGAGGGCAAUCGAUUCUGAAUAAAUAGGUUGUGAAUUGGAGAUUUGCAUUAACCCUGCCCAGGGCCGGGCUGUGUUUGCUGUAGCUGUGUGUGUGUAUAACUUCAGAUCCCUCUGUGACCUCCUUUUGUCUCCCUUUGUGGUUUUGGGCUUUCCUUUGCUGUUCCUCGGACAGCCUGUGUCUCUCAGGUCUCUUAGCUGUAAUCCAGUUAUCCCAGAGCUUGUCAGUUAGAGGGGAGGGAAGGGUUGGGGAGGGGCAGUUCCCUGGUCUCUGUCUUUGGACUUCAUGGGGCCUGUGCCCCCAUCCUGCCAUGGCCUUCACAAGGGUUUCUGUCCUCGCUCCAGAGUGAGGUGCCACCCAUCCCCCAUCCCCCAC
This 9641-nucleotide long non-coding RNA is filed under the name Homo sapiens (human). Its description in RNAcentral is "HSALNT0309913". Lineage: Eukaryota; Metazoa; Chordata; Mammalia; Primates; Hominidae. The record is from RNAcentral.